AACGCGAAGAACCUUACCAGGCCUUGACAUCCUGAGAACCCUCCAGAGAAGGAGGGGUGCCCUUCGGGGAGCUCAACACACAGGUGCUGCAUGGCUGUCGUCAGCUCGUGUCGUGAGAUGUUCGGUUAAGUCCGGCAACGAGCGCAACCCUCGCCAUUAGUUGCCAGCAUUUCGGAUGGCCACUCUAGUGGGACUGCCUAUGAAAGUAGGAGGAAGGCGGGGAUGAUGUCUAGUCAGCAUGGUCCUUACGGCCUGGGCGACACACGUGCUACAAUGGCCGGUACAACGGGCUGCCACCUCGCGAGAGGGAGCUAAUCCUUAAAGCCGGUCCCAGUUCAGAUUGCAGUCUGCAACUCGACUGCCUGAAGUUGGAAUCGCUAGUAAUCGCGGAUCAGCCAUGCCGCGGUGAAUACUUUCCCGGGUCUUGUACACACCG
RNAcentral lists this ribosomal RNA (436 nucleotides) under uncultured bacterium. Its description in RNAcentral is "bacterial SSU rRNA". It matches the Rfam family "Bacterial small subunit ribosomal RNA", at positions 958 to 1392 of the family's 1533-position model. The record is from RNAcentral.